This is a non-coding RNA of Gossypium arboreum, 145 nucleotides long. NCBI's taxonomy places the organism in Eukaryota, Viridiplantae, Streptophyta, Magnoliopsida, Malvales, Malvaceae. The record is from Rfam.
UGUUAAGAAUUUCAUCCAUUCUUACUGUUAAAAGCCGUUGUGAUUGAUGGAGUAAUUAGACAGCUAUACGUGGCAUGCUAUGUAUAUCUUAUGUUGACAUACAUGGGCUAGUUUUUAAGAGUAAAAAUGGAUGAAAUUUUUAAUA